Molecule: non-coding RNA, 225 nt
Filed under: Paracoccus sp. (in: a-proteobacteria)
Lineage: Bacteria; Pseudomonadati; Pseudomonadota; Alphaproteobacteria; Rhodobacterales; Paracoccaceae
Also listed under: 1 other name
Source: RNAcentral
UUGGGUCACCGCAUCGCUGGUUCCUGCCUUACGGCAGGCGAAGAGGGAAUGCGACAGCCUGCCGUCCAUCCAAGGGACACGGGUCAAGCGCAGCCGCCCCCGCGACCGUGACCGGAGAGGUCGCCCACCGCCACUGGGAAACCGGGAAGGCAGGGCGCCCGCCGGGGUGCUGCCAGGCCCCCGACAUCCGCAAGCCGGGAGACCUGCCAGCGUCGGCCCUCGAAG